UGGGGAAUUUUGGACAAUGGGCGCAAGCCUGAUCCAGCCAUGCCGCGUGUCUGAAGAAGGCCUUCGGGUUGUAAAGGACUUUUGUCAGGGAAGAAAAGGACAGGGUUAAUACCCCUGUCUGAUGACGGUACCUGAAGAAUAAGCACCGGCUAACUACGUGCCAGCAGCCGCGGUAAUACGUAGGGUGCGAGCGUUAAUCGGAAUUACUGGGCGUAAAGCGAGCGCAGACGGUUACUUAAGCAGGAUGUGAAAUCCCCGGGCUCAACCUGGGAACUGCGUUCUGAAAUGGGUGACUAGAGUGUGUCAGAGGGAGGUAGAAUUCCACGUGUAGCAGUGAAAUGCGUAGAGAUGUGGAGGAAUACCGAUGGCGAAGGCAGCCUCCUGGGAUAACACUGACGUUCAUGCUCGAAAGCGUGGGUAGCAAACAGG
This 429-nucleotide ribosomal RNA is filed under the name bacterium. RNAcentral's name for it is "partial 16S ribosomal RNA". It matches the Rfam family "Bacterial small subunit ribosomal RNA", at positions 355 to 776 of the family's 1533-position model. The record is from RNAcentral.